This 778-nucleotide ribosomal RNA is filed under the name Harveylithon rupestre. RNAcentral's name for it is "SSU rRNA". It matches the Rfam family "Eukaryotic small subunit ribosomal RNA", at positions 362 to 1144 of the family's 1831-position model. Lineage: Eukaryota; Rhodophyta; Florideophyceae; Corallinales; Porolithaceae. The record is from RNAcentral.
ACGGACCGUGGGUGCGGGACUCCGGAGAGGGAGCCUGAGAAACGGCUACCACAUCCAAGGAAGGCAGCAGGCGCGCAACUUGCCCAAUCCAGACUCUGGGAGGCAGUGACAAGAAAUAUCAAUAGGGGAUCCUAUGGGUCUUCUAAUUGGAAUGAGAACAAGCUAAACAGCUUAUCGAGAAUCCAGCAGAGGGCAAGUCUGGUGCCAGCAGCCGCGGUAAUUCCAGCUCUGUAAGCGUAUACCAAAGUUGUUGCAGUUAAAACGCUCGUAGUCGGAAUUUGGCAGUUCCGGAUGUGAGCACAUCGUGUGCGCACUUUGCGGGGACUGCUUUUGUGGACUGGCGUCGGAUGAGGCACUUUUAGUAGUGAGCGUCCGUACGCAGCCACUCUUUACUGUGAGAAAAUCAGAGUGCUCAAAGCAGGCAUUUGCCGUGAAUGUAUUAGCAUGGAAUAAUAGAAUAGGACUUGGUUCUAUUUUGUUGGUUUGUUGGGGCUGAGUAAUGAUUAAGAGGGACAGUUGGGGGCAUUUGUAUUUCGGCGCUAGAGGUGAAAUUCUUAGAUUGCCGAAAGACAAACUGCUGCGAAAGCGUCUGCCAAGGAUGUUUUCAUUGAUCAAGAACGAAAGUAAGGGGAUCGAAGACGAUCAGAUACCGUCGUAGUCUUUACUAUAAACGAUGAGGACUGGGGAUCGGGCGAGGGAUUACGAUGACCCGCCCGGCACCCUUCGAGAAAUCAAAGUGUUUGCUUUCUGGGGGGAGUAUGGUCGCAAGGCUGAAACU